CAUGCGGCAGCUACACAUGCAGUCGAGCGGUAGCACAGAGAGCUUGCUCUCGGGUGACGAGCGGCGGACGGGUGAGUAAUGUCUGGGAAACUGCCUGAUGGAGGGGGAUAACUACUGGAAACGGUAGCUAAUACCGCAUAAUGUCGCAAGACCAAAGUGGGGGACCUUCGGGCCUCAUGCCAUCAGAUGUGCCCAGAUGGGAUUAGCUAGUAGGUGGGGUAACGGCUCACCUAGGCGACGAUCCCUAGCUGGUCUGAGAGGAUGACCAGCCACACUGGAACUGAGACACGGUCCAGACUCCUACGGGAGGCAGCAGUGGGGAAUAUUGCACAAUGGGCGCAAGCCUGAUGCAGCCAUGCCGCGUGUGUGAAGAAGGCCUUCGGGGUUGUUAAAGCACUUUCUUAGCGGGGGAGUGAAUGGCGUCUAACGCUAAUUAACCUUGUCCUUGAUUGACCUUACCCUGCAGAAGAAGCACCUGGCUAACUCCGUGCCAGCAGCCGCGGUAAUACGGGAGGGUGCAAGCGUUAAUCGGAAUUACUGGGCGUAAAGCGCACGCAGGCGGUCUGUCAAGUCGGAUGUGAAAUCCCCGGGCUCAACCUGGGAACUGCAUUCGAAACUGGCAGGCUAGAGUCUUGUAGAGGGGGGUAGAAUUCCAGGUGUAGCGGUGAAAUGCGUAGAGAUCUGGAGGAAUACCGGUGGCGAAAGCGGCCCCCUGGACAAAGACUGACGCUCAGGUGCGAAAGCGUGGGGAGCAAACAGGAUUAGAUACCCUGGUAGUCCACGCCGUAAACGAUGUCGAUUUGGAGGUUGGUGCCCUUGAGGCGUGACUUCAGGAGCUAACGCGUUAAAUCGACCGCCUGGGGGAGUACGGCCGCAAGGUUAAAACUCAAAUGAAUUGACGGGCGCCCGCCACAAGCGGUGAAGCAUGUGGUUUAAUUCGAUGCAACGCGAAGAACCUUACCUGGUCUUGACAUCCACAGAACUUUCCAGAGAUGGAUUGGUGCCUUCGGGAACUGUGAGACAGGUGCUGCAUGGCUGUCCUCAGCUCCCGUUGGCGU
RNAcentral lists this ribosomal RNA (1058 nucleotides) under Klebsiella pneumoniae. Its description in RNAcentral is "bacterial SSU rRNA". It matches the Rfam family "Bacterial small subunit ribosomal RNA", at positions 36 to 1075 of the family's 1533-position model. Lineage: Bacteria; Pseudomonadati; Pseudomonadota; Gammaproteobacteria; Enterobacterales; Enterobacteriaceae. The record is from RNAcentral.